RNAcentral lists this small RNA (128 nucleotides) under Marmota monax (woodchuck). The record is from RNAcentral. Lineage: Eukaryota; Metazoa; Chordata; Mammalia; Rodentia; Sciuridae.
GCCGGGUGUGGUGGUGCACGUCUGUAAUCCCAGCAGCUGGGGAGGCUGAGUCAGGAGGAUCGGAAGUUCAAAGCCAGCUUCAGCAACUGAGUGAGGCCCUUAAGCAACUCAGUGAGGCCCUGUCUCUA